GACGAACGCUGGCGGCGUGCCUAAUACAUGCAAGUCGAACGGACCUUGCUUGGACGGAGUGGAGUACUUGUACAAAGCGAAGACUAAGCGCUGGUUAGUGGCGAACGGGUGAGUAACACGUAGGUAACCUACCGAUAAGACGAGGACAACUCAUGGAAACGUGAGCUAAUACUGGAUAUGGUAUAGGGAAGGCAUCUUUCUUAUAUUAAAGGAGCUUCUGGCUUCACUUAUUGAUGGACCUGCGGCGUAUUAGCUAGUUGGUGGGAUAGCAGCCUACCAAGGCGAUGAUACGUAGCCGAUCUGAGAGGAUAAACGGCCACACCGGGACUGAGAUACGGCCCAGACUCCUACGGGAGGCAGCAGUAGGGAAUUUUCCACAAUGGACGAAAGUCUGAUGGAGCAACGCCGCGUGUGUGAAGAAGGUUUUCGGAUUGUAAAGCACUGUUGUAUGGGAAGAAUAAGGUGAGAAGGAAAUGGCUCAUUGAUGACG
Molecule: ribosomal RNA, 490 nt
Filed under: uncultured Bacillota bacterium
Lineage: Bacteria; Bacillati; Bacillota
Description: bacterial SSU rRNA
Rfam family: Bacterial small subunit ribosomal RNA
Source: RNAcentral